UUCUAUUCUUACUGUUAUCAGUUAGUAUAGACGGUUCCUGGCUUAGAAUGAUUCUCUGCUCAGCAAAUGGUGCGUAAUUAGCAUUUGAAUCAAAUUUCUUGUAGAAGUAAAAAACACAAAUUAAUGUAUUUGACAACUUUAUUCAGGAGCACAGUCUAUAUUAUCCGGCGUAAAUAACUUCGAGAUUUAUGUGGAAGUUUACUCUGCUGCUCGAUCUAUGCUAAUCGAUGUUCCAGUAUAUUUCAUAUUUAUAUUUAUUCGUGAGGCCUCGUCAUCGUUUAUAUUCACUAAAAGCACAGUCGCCUAAAUAUUUUAUAUGGCGAAAAAAUUGCGAAAAUUGGGGGAAAUAAUAUAUUUUUAGUAGCAUUAUUAUUUUAAAAUCUUAAGAGGUUGCUUGCAAAUUUAACUCUAAAAUGAGAAGUGUAUGACGAUCUAUAACGAAUAUAUACAUCCAUCAUGUGUGCAGAUACGACGGCGACUAUAUAGGGUCUGCCAUGAGUGCACUUUGUAUGCCCUGCAUGUGUGCACCCAGGAGGUCCUCCUGAGCGGUGUUUAGACGUACCGGGAAAAUCUUAUCUGAUUCAGGAUCAAUUCAUCGGUUACACUCCCCUGUCACCAGUGAUUCUUUUUUGCUGACAUUCUGAAAAAGUAUUGUGUAGUCCCUGUGUAAGUGUUGACUCUCAACUUGCACAUGUGAUUUUUUAACACUCCCCGGACUUCUGCAAAAAACAAUUAUUCAGUUCACUGAUUUAGAUGGAAGGUAAACGAACAGAAAGUCACAGGACAUUCCGACAAAAAGUCACAGGACAAAAAGUCAAACACAUGUCAAACUCAGGCAUAAAGUAACAAAGUUGAUAGGACAAAAAGUCACAAACACAAUUUGUUGACAAUUGAUUGAAUAUAAAUGAAAAAAGAUUUUGAAAUAUCUUCUUUUUAUUACAUAUAUUCAUUUUUAAUUUUAGGAAAUUGUUCAUAAUAUAAAAAAGAAGAUGUGGUAUGAUUGCCAAUGAGACAACUGUCCACAAGAGACCAAAAUGACACAGACAUUAACAACCAUAGGUCACCAAACAGCCUUCAACAAUGAGCAAAGCCCGAGGUAAAGCCCAUACCGCAUAGUCAGCUGUAAAAGGCAAUCAUACUAUAUCUUUUUUUUUAUAUUUACAUGUUAAAAAAAUGCGUGCAAAUGUAAUCAAAAGCUGCACACAAACGUAAUGAUUUUUGUGCGCAAAUGUAAUGGUAAUGUGCGCAAACCUAAUGCACUGAUUUAUUUGUUUUUAAUAAAUUUUAAUUUAAAGUUGCUACAUCAUGUUCAUGUAUAAAACUUCAAGAAAAAAUACAAAAAGAGUGUUUUCUUGUUCAAAGAAAAAUAAUCUCAAAACUAAAUUGUGACUUUUUGUCCUGUGACAGUCACAGUGUGUGACUUUUUGACUGUGACUUUCUGUCCUGCAUUCAGAUUGAAUAGGGGAGUUUGGUUGACCCCGCCUCCCUCUAUCUGAGACUACUAUCUCAGUGAUGAGCUUUAUGUUUCAUGUACAAAUGUAUUGUGCUUGUCAUAUAUGUAUGUCGGAUAAAAGCUCUACAGACCUUUAAUAUGUUGUAUUGUUAUAUGUAUAACCGACAAUAAAUAAAUAGCCCCUAACAAGUAAGAAUUAGGUUACUUCUUUUUGUUUUGACAUCUUGCAUGGGUUUUUAUAGCCCCGUAUUAAAAUUAUGCCCCCACUUUAAAAAAAGGGGGGUGGUAUAUACUGUUUUACCCCUGUCUGUCCAUCCAUCCUUGCGUCAGUCAGUCCGUCCGAUGAAUAUUUUUCGUCCCAUUUUCCUUAGGAACUACAAUAGAAGGAUUUCUGAAAUUUGGUUUCAGGGUUAAAUAAGUCAGCUAUACCGUGUGAUGCAUUUUCAGAUUCAUCACUCGACAACUUCCUGUUUUCCCAACACUUGUAUGAUUUUACACAUGAUAGCCAAGUUGAAAGUUGAAAACUAACAACCUAAUUUAUGUACAAAAAAAUUGAAAAACAGAUAUGUUACACAUAAACAAACGACAAUCACUGAAUUAUCGGAUCCUGACUUGGAACAGGCACAACCAUAACAAAUUGGCAGGGUAUAAGGAACUUUGAAAAUAUUUAGUUUUUGUGGUUUGGUCUAUUUUCCGGAUACUGUAAGCAAUAAGGCCCCUUUAUUUAGUGAAUGAAAUAAUUGUAAGAUGCACUUAGCUGUCUGUCAUAUUUUAUAUGAACAUGAUGAACUUGACCUCAUUUUCAUGCAUGGUUCAUUGGUCAAUGAAACACUGCAUUGUUUUGUCAGUUUAUCAUAUGUUUAAAGUUACAGGUAGAUUAUAUUUGGUAGAUAUGAAACAAUUGUAAGGUGUGCAUGUCUGAAUGGCAGAUUCAUAUAUAAACCAUGACCGCAUUUUAUUGUUCUUUGGUCAAUGAUAAGUUUUCUUGGUUUUGUCAUUUUAUCAGGCCACAUUUAAAAGAAUGUCUGUUUCCCCUCCCCGGGUCUACCCUUUGUAAACAGACCAGGAAGGCAGGUUUUUUUUAGCUCACCUGACCUGAAAGGUCAAGUGAGCUUUUCUCAUCACUUGGCGUUCGUCGUCUGUCGUCCUGCGUCCGUCGUCCGUCGUCCGUAAACUUUUACAAAAAUCUUCUCCUCUGAAACUACUUGGCCAAAUUCUACCAAACUUGGCCACAAUCAUCCUUGGGGUAUCUAGUUUAAAAAAAUGUGUGGCGUGACCUGUCAAACCAACCAAGAUGGCCGCCAUGGCUAAAAAUAGAACAUAGGGGUAAAAUGCAGUUUUUGGCUUAUAACUCAAAAACCAAAGCAUUUAGAGCAAAUCUGACAUGGGGUAAAAUUGUUGAUCAGGUCAAGAUCUAUCUGCCCUGAAAUUUUCAGACGAAUCGGACAACCUGUUGAUGGGUUGCUGCCUGUGAAAUGGUUAUUUUAAGGAAAUUUUGCAGUUUUUGGUUAUUAUCUUGAAUACUAUUAUAGAUAGAGAUAAACUGUAAAAGCAAUAAUGUUCAGCAAAGUAAGACCUACAAAUAAGUCAACAUGACCAAAAUUGUCAGUCGACCCCUUAAGGAGUUAUUGCCCUUUAUAGUCAAUUUUUAACAACUUUUCAUCAUUUUUUGUAACUUUUUUAAAAAUCUUCUUCUCUGAAACUACUUUGCCAAAUUUAACCAAACUUGGCCACAAUUAUCAUUGUGGUUUGUAGUUUAAAAAAUGUGUCCGAUGACCCAGCCUACCAAACAAAAUGGCCGACAUGGCUAAAAUUAGAACAUAGUGGUAAAAUGCAGGUUUUGCUUUAUAUCUUUGAAACUAAGACAUUUAGGGCAAAUCUUUCAAGAUUUAAAUGUCCAUCAGAAUAAGAUAUAUCCCCUCACAAAUUUUCAGUUGAAUUGGACAACCUGUUGUUGGGUUGCUGCCCUAAAAUUGGUGAUUUUAAGGUAAUUUUGCAGUUUUUGGUUAUUAUCUUGAAUACUAUUAUAGAUAGAGAUAAACUGUAGACAGCAAUAAUGUUCAGCAAAGUAAGAUCUACAAAUAAGUCAGCAUGAUCAAAAUUGUUAGAGGACCCCUUAAGGAGUUAUUGCCCUUUAUAGUCAAUAUUGAACAACUUUUCGUCAUUUUUGUAACUUGUAUAAAAAUCAUUUCUAAAACUACUUGGCCAAAUUUAACCAAACUUGGCCACAAUCAUAAUACUAGGGUAUCUAUUUUUAAAAAAAAAGUGUCUAAUGACCCCGCCUACCAACGAAGAUGGCCGACAUCAGUAAACACAUUAACAGGUGAGCGACACAGGCUCUUGAGAGCCUCUAGUUUUUUUUAACUGGAUGUGAUUGUCAUAGCAUGGUCACAUGAAUGGUUUGACUUGUCCAGUCCAGGCCACUUAUCAGUUGUUUGUGCUCAAUUUGAGUGUAUUUAUUUAGAUUAUCAAUCCUUCUGCUUUCAAGCACUUUCCAAAAAUGGAAACAAAUUAUUUUCAGGAAAAAAAUAAUUUCGAUUUUUUUGUGGAAAAUAAUUUUUUGACCCGGGCGCUUAUUUUUGACCCGUGUGGGGGGAGGGGAAACAAACAUAUUUUUAAUUUUGGCCUUAGAUUUUUUAAGCAUAGGUCUACUUGUUGUAUGGAAUGACUACAAGGUAUCAUAUAAAAAAAAGAUGUCUGCCUGCCAAGGUUAAUUUUACUGUGACCUCAUAUUCAUAGAAUAAUGAUAAUAUUCAUGAUAUUGAACAGCAAGAAUGAUGAGUAAGUUGAUGUUAUAUACAAAUAAGACAAAAUUUUCAGUUGCCUACUAAUUAUGUAAUACAUGUAGUAGUUAUUUUUGUCAUUAAAUGAUGUUUACCCUUUUAUGUGUAGGGCAAGAACAUGAAAGAUAAAGGGGAAACUAUAAACAGAAGAAAUUAUCAACAAAAUAAGAUUUACAGAGGUCAACAAAGCCUAAAUGGUAAGUCCACUGUUAUAAAAAUUUUUUUGUCCUUGAAUAAUAAUUAAAUAUUUAUUAAAAUAAGAUGUGGUAUGAUGAAAGAGAAAACUAUCCAUCAGAGUUCAAUUUAGUGGAUGUAAGCAUUGUAAUUACUUAUUAGAGGCCAUUGAUGACCUGUAAGUAAUGAGAAAACCCAUACCCUAUACAUGUUAUAGUAAUCUAUAAAAGUCAACACUAACCAAAUUUGAAACAGAGCAUCAAUUCAAACGUCAAAUAUACCAGACUAAUUUAUAAAAACAAAAAAUUAUGAAAAAUAAAAAUGACGGGUAUGAACCAACAUCAACCACUGAACUAUGUACAAGCUCCUGAUAUUAGACAGGUAUAAUAUGGCUGGGUUGAUAUAAAAAUAAGAAACACUUAGCAGUCUGAUUUCCAAUGAGACAUUUCUCCAAUAGAGAUCAAAUGACAUUUAAGGAGGCUCUAGGGUAUAACAAUUUCAGAAAAAUGUUUUAAUAUUUUUUUUUCAUAACUCAAUUUAUUUAUAUCUUUAUCAUAUGGUACACCAAAUCAUUCAAAACAAUCAAUUCGGUUUGGCCCCAGAUGACUUUUAAAAUGCAUAUAUCAUUGAAAAAGCUCCAAAUUAUCUCCCUUUGGUGCAAAAAUGCCAUUUUUUGGCAUUAAAAAUGUAAUAUCUUAUUUAACUCAUCGGUGGCCUAUAUUUUUUAUUAUAAUUUUAAAUAAGCUGUACUUUAACUAAACUAUUAUAAAAUUUAAGCGAUUUCUGUAAUUUAGUACUUGAAUAUUUAAAUGAAAGUUUAUCAUAUUAAUCAUAAACAUGAUAAAAUAGCCAUUUUAUUGAUCUCUUCACUGAUAAUUUUUGAGUUUGUGUAUUUGUAGGUCAGAAAUCUGGAUUUUCAUGGUCAUCAUUCACAGAUCAAUACUGAACGGAAAACUUAAAGCUGAUAUUUUUCUCCAUAGUGCGACUUUUUUUAUUAAUUUGAAAUGGAACAUGUUUUUUCCUACAUUUAUUUGAAAGAGGAAAUUUCAACAUGAUGACUAUAAACAAAAAGGAGUCAUAUCAUCACGAUCAUUGAUGCACAAGAACUUGAUCAUAUAAAUACAACAAUGUAAUUAUCAAUUGAAAGAUGGAACGAAUGAACAAGAUAUUAGAAUGUUGUUGUCCAAAUAAACUUGCUUUGUCUUCUCAUUUGAAUCUCUCCAUUCAAUAAAGAUGUACAGAGGAAGAUCUUUGAAGAACAGAUUGAAAAAAUGUUUUGUCUAAGAAUUGCAGGAAUAUUCUAGUGAAUGAAAUUAUUUAUUGACUUCACUCUUAUAUAGUGGACUGAAUAAUUGUACAUAGCAAGUUGUGAAUAAAGAAAGCAAAAACUUUAACAAAAAGUGUUUAUAUUAUAAAUUUGCAAAUAUAAGCAUACUAUUAUGUACACCACAAAGGUAUAUAUAAUUCAAAUUGUUUGCCUAUACAAGUAUUGCAAUGAACCUAUAACAAAGAAAAUCUUACCUCAUGAAAAGAGUGAACUAUUCAGUCAGAAUAUGAAAUAUUUUUUCAGUUCUAUUUUUCAUAAUAGAAUAAACAAGAC
This 6010-nucleotide long non-coding RNA is filed under the name Mytilus galloprovincialis (Mediterranean mussel). Lineage: Eukaryota; Metazoa; Mollusca; Bivalvia; Mytilida; Mytilidae. The record is from RNAcentral.